CCCGUCACUGAAAUCACAAUGCAUAUAUAUACUCAAACACAGACAGAUAAGAAUAUUAUGACUAAAUCUAUUUACCAGAAUUAUGACUAAAGCAUUAAUUUCCUCUGUAAUGUGAUAUACAUAUGACUAAUAUUAACCAAACAUUUGUUUUUUUUCAACUAAGCACAUAACUUGUAUUAUCUUAUAGCCAUAUAGGCAUUAUUUUGACACACUCAUCUCUGACCGAUGACAGAAUUCUUCCUGAUUGUUACACUGAAACAUGUUUUUUUCUGUGAAACUGCUUUGUAUUGUGAAAAGUGUUAUUUACAUAAACUUGAAUAUGGCAAAUGCCAUGCAUGCUCAUUAAUUUGACAUUUUUAGGCUUGUUUCUAAGACAUUUGAUCACAAAUCACAGCAAGUGACCUUCUUCAGCCAUGGCUCCAAGUGAAAAAUGUUACAUGUAUGCAUGCACUAACAUAAUACAAUGGGUACAAAAUCGAUCACUAACUUUUCAAGCGUAUGAUUUGAGGAUGACGUUAGAUAGCUUUAUUAAAACGCUAUCCGACCUAUUACGGGCUUUUGUUAGGAGACAUAGGCGUCAGUUGAGUCCCAGACAGUGUGUUCGACUCCCCAGAGAGUUCAGGUACUCUCUCAGACACAAUCUGUCUGCUUCUGUCGGGAAGCAACAUCAACGAAAAGGAGUAAUAUGCACCUAAAAUGGCAUGCUGUUGCUUUAAAAGACACAUCUCUAUACGUCCCUGUUAAAUUCGAACGCAAAUUCCUAUUGUAAGGGUUCGAAGAAUGUCUAUUAUGACAUCAUCAGUGGAAUGAAUAAGUAUUCUGCCCCAAUUCCGAUCACACCUGCCACUGAAAACACGCGCAAACGCAUAUCGAUUGCACGCUAUACGUGCUCCUGCUGGUGAGAUGAGCAAGCGUCUAGAGCAGCAGACUGACUCUGUGCAUGUUAAGAUCUCUCUGCUCGUUCAUUGCUUCAUGGUCACGCUACUAGGUAAAGCAGGGGCCGUGCAGGGGGAGAUGCCAUUUUCAGCAACACACGCCAAUUGUGCGCUAAAUUCCUUGCUGACAGUCUCCAGUCUAUUAAUGAUCAUCAAUGUGUGGCUGAUCAUCCUGCUGCCCGAUGCUUUUCCUUUGCUUUAAAAGGGUGCAAGUUAAACACGUGGAACUGGAUAUGGAGCUGGCAGUUUCUAUUUUCCUAGAAGUCAUUUCCAAAUAUAGAAACUAGGAAGGGAUGUUCUUAGAAACCCCCGAGUCGUUAUGGCCGAGUUUACUUGUUUUGUCAGCUAAAUCGCUAAGUGUUCGUGUUAGUUGAACGGAAGACCUAAAUUACAUUAAUGAUGCAACUCUAUAUGUAUAUGCAGAUGUCGCUCUUGUUCUGCGCUGAACGUCACAGAUACGUCAGUCUUUGAAUAAGUGAAAACGUGAUUUAUUAAUCUGCAAUCAAACCUGUAGGAUUACAGCAUUGAUUUCUUGCUCUUUGUCGCCCUCUGUUGCUGAGAUUUUGACGUUCCUUUUUGCUAAAGAUGAAGAUACCGUGACGUCACACACAGGCAACCUUCCGGGUUCCUCGGAUUAGAUGCUGCUGCUGAUUCCAUGUGUACCGUAUAUAUAAGCAUAUUAACGACUUAUUUGUCAUACUUACCGUUUUAUAAUAAAUAUUUAAUUCAUUGUGCAUUUGAAUUUGAACAUACUCAUCAGACCCACACAAUUUAAGAUACAAUUUCACCACAUUAUAAGUAGAUAUUCAUUAGAUCUAAUCGCAGCUUUUUUUCUUCUUUCUUUUUUGUAUGCAGCUCAGUCAGUCGUUUGGAUCUACGGAUAAUGUCGGAAAUAACCUCUCGAAUUUAAAAUUAU
This is a long non-coding RNA of Cyprinus carpio carpio, 1851 nucleotides long. Lineage: Eukaryota; Metazoa; Chordata; Actinopteri; Cypriniformes; Cyprinidae. The record is from Ensembl.